UUACUUUGGGUCCUUUCAAAUCCAGGUCAACAUCAGGUAUGGAGAUCUUGGGAGCUUUGAUAUUUAUUUCAGGCAUCUUGAACUUGGGGCCCUUUAGUUUCGCAUCUGGACCUUCGAUAUUCACAUCAGGAACAUCAACGUCCACUUUGGGUCCUGAGACAUCAAUGUCAGCCUUGGGCAGGUUCACAUCCACAUCUGGGCCCUCUCCUUUGAAGCCAGGCAUGCUGAACUUGGGCAUUUUCACUUUGGGCAUUUUUAAGUGCCAGUCUGGGCCUUGAACGUCCACAUCUGGGACAUCAAUGUCAGCUUUGGGCAAAUUAACAUCCACUUCUGGGCCCUCUCCUUUAAAUCCUGGCAUGCUGAAUUUGGGCAUUUUCACCUUGGGCAUCUUCAGGUGCCAGUCUGGGCCAUGAACAUCCACAUCUGGGGCAUCAAUGUCCACUUUGGGCCCUCUGAUGUCAACAUCUGGCACUUUCAUUUCACCUUCUACCUUGGGAACAGACACAUCCAUAUCUGGGGCAUCAAUGUCCACUUUGGGCCCUUU
This 544-nucleotide long non-coding RNA is filed under the name Homo sapiens (human). RNAcentral describes it as "HSALNT0176011". Lineage: Eukaryota; Metazoa; Chordata; Mammalia; Primates; Hominidae. The record is from RNAcentral.